GGACUACUAGGGUUUCUAAUCCUGUUCGCUCCCCACGCUUUCGCUCCUCAGUGUCAGGUAAGGCCCAGAGAACCGCCUUCGCCACCGGUGUUCCUCCCGAUAUCUGCGCAUUUCACCGCUACACCGGGAAUUCCAUUCUCCCCUACCUACCUCUAGUCUGCCCGUAUCCACUGCAAGCCCAAGGUUAAGCCUUGGGUUUUCACAGCGGACGCAGCAGACCACCUACGAGCUCUUUACGCCCAAUAAUUCCGGACAACGCUUGCGCCCUACGUGUUACCGCGGCUGCUGGCAC
Molecule: ribosomal RNA, 292 nt
Filed under: uncultured bacterium
Lineage: Bacteria
Description: partial 16S ribosomal RNA
Source: RNAcentral